GACGAACGCUGGCGGCGUGCUUAACACAUGCAAGUCGAACGGAAAGGCCCUGCUUUUGUGGGGUGCUCGAGUGGCGAACGGGUGAGUAACACGUGAGUAACCUGCCCUUGACUUUGGGAUAACUUCAGGAAACUGGGGCUAAUACCGGAUAGGAGCUCCUGCUGCAUGGUGGGGGUUGGAAAGUUUCGGCGGUUGGGGAUGGACUCGCGGCUUAUCAGCUUGUUGGUGGGGUAGUGGCUUACCAAGGCUUUGACGGAUAGCCGGCCUGAGAGGGUGACCGGCGACGAUGAGACUAAGAUACGCCCCAGACUACAACGGGAGGCAGCAGUGGGGAAUAUUACACAACGGGCGGAAGUCUGAUGCAGCAACGCCGCGUGCGGGAUGACGGCCUUCGGGUUGUAAACCGCUUUCGCCUGUGACGAAGCGUGAGUGACGGUAAUGGGUAAAGAAGCACCGGCUAACUACGUG
Molecule: ribosomal RNA, 468 nt
Filed under: uncultured bacterium
Lineage: Bacteria
Description: partial 16S ribosomal RNA
Rfam family: Bacterial small subunit ribosomal RNA
Source: RNAcentral